CGCACAUUGCGCCCUUUGGUAUUCCGAGGGGCACGCCUGUUCGAGCGUCAUUUACACCGUCAAGCACCGCUUGGUAUUGGAUGGGGUCGUAGCGACCCAUCCGCAACUCGUUGGCGGUACUGUCCGGCUCUAAGCGUAGCAAGUCUUACCCUCGCUUCGGAGGCCGUGGCGGUGCCUGUCACCCAAUCUAGUACCCAAAGUUUGACCUCGGAUCAGGUGGGGAUACCCGCUGAACUUAA
RNAcentral lists this unclassified non-coding RNA (239 nucleotides) under Dothideomycetes sp. RNAcentral describes it as "partial contains 5.8S ribosomal RNA, internal transcribed spacer 2, and large subunit ribosomal RNA". The record is from RNAcentral. Lineage: Eukaryota; Fungi; Ascomycota; Dothideomycetes.